RNAcentral lists this ribosomal RNA (501 nucleotides) under uncultured bacterium. RNAcentral's name for it is "bacterial SSU rRNA". It matches the Rfam family "Bacterial small subunit ribosomal RNA", at positions 39 to 518 of the family's 1533-position model. The record is from RNAcentral.
CUGCGGCGUGCUUAACACAUGCAAGUCGAACGCGAAAGGGGACUUCGGUCCUGAGUAAAGUGGCGCACGGGUGAGUAACGCGUAGAUAACCUGUCUUCAUGUCUGGAAUAAUACGCCAAAGGGGUACUAAUACCGGAUAUUCUUGCUUUUCAUAAGUUAUGCAAGCAAAGGUGGCCUCUGCAUAUGCUACUGCAUGAAGAGGGGUCUGCGUACCAUUAGCUAGUAGGUGGGGUAAUGGCCUACCUAGGCGACGAUGGUUAGCGGGUCUGAGAGGAUGAUCCGCCACACUGGCACUGGAACACGGGCCAGACUCCUACGGGAGGCAGCAGUGAGGAAUAUUGCGCAAUGGGGGAAACCCUGACGCAGCGACGCCGCGUGAGUGAGGAAGGCCUUCGGGUCGUAAAGCUCUGUCAAGAGGAAAGAAGUGUACAAUGGCCAAUACCUGUUGUAUUUGACGGUACCUCUAAAGGAAGCACCGGCUAACUCCGUGCCAGCCGCCGC